CGCCACCGCAGCCACCUCAGCCACGGGCACUAUGGCAUCUGGAGUUACAGUGAAUGAUGAAGUCAUCAAAGUUUUUAAUGAUUUGAAAGUAACAAAAUCUUCUACACAGGAGGAGAUCAAAAAAAGAAAGAAAGCAGCUCUCUUCUGCUUAAGUGAUAACAAAAGACAAAUAAUUGUAGAGGAAGCCAAGCAGAUCUUGGGCUCCUGAAAGUGUACCGUUAAAAAGCAAGAUGAUUUAUGCUAGCUCUAAAGAUGCCAUUAAAAAGAAAUUUACAGGUAUUAAACAUGAGUGGCAAGUAAAUGGCUUGGACGAUAUUAAGGACCGCUCGACACUGGGAGAGAAACUGGGAGGCAGUGUUGUAGUUUCCCUUGAAGGAAAGCCACUAUAAAAUAAUAGCCAGGUGCCAUUUGAUCUUAAGGUGCUUACAUUUAUCUCUCCAGCUCAGUCCACUAGAAUUGUGUUAGGUUUUGUUUUUUUUGUUUAUUCCCUUUCCACUGGUCCUGUUCAACACAGUGAGUGAGUGACUAUAAGAAGCCUGUCGGUAUUGCCAUUAGACUGUUUCAUACGGUUACUUUUCUGUAGAGCCCAAGGAAUGUCUUCCCGUCUUAUUUUAGCCAAAACAACUGGUUCCAUGCCUUCUUUG
Molecule: RNA transcript, 644 nt
Organism: Mus pahari (shrew mouse)
Lineage: Eukaryota; Metazoa; Chordata; Mammalia; Rodentia; Muridae
Gene name: cofilin-2 pseudogene
Exons: 1
Source: RefSeq, a predicted model, not a curated record